GAGUUUGAUCCUGGCUCAGGAUGAACGCUGGCGGCGUGCUUAACACAUGCAAGUCGAACGAAACACCUUAUUUGAUUUUCUUCGGAACUGAAGAUUUGGUGAUUGAGUGGCGGACGGGUGAGUAACGCGUGGGUAACCUACCCUGUACAGGGGGAUAACAGUCAGAAAUGACUGCUAAUACCGCAUAAGACCACAGCACCGCAUGGUGCAGGGGUAAAAACUCCGGUGGUACAGGAUGGGCCCGCGUCUGAUUAGCUGGUUGGCAGGGUAACGGCCCACCAAGGCGACGAUCCAUAGCCGACCUGAGAGGGUGACCGGCCACACUGGGACUGAGACACGGCCCAGACUCCUACGGGAGGCAGCAGUGGGGAAUAUUGCGCAAUGGGGGCAACCCUGACGCAGCAACGCCGCGUGCAGGAAGAAGGUCUUCGGAUUGUAAACUGUUGUCGCAAGGGAAGAAGACAGUGACGGUACCUUGUGAGAAAGUCACGGCUAACUACGUGCCAGCCGCCGCGGUAAUUC
This 522-nucleotide ribosomal RNA is filed under the name uncultured bacterium. RNAcentral's name for it is "bacterial SSU rRNA". It matches the Rfam family "Bacterial small subunit ribosomal RNA", at positions 9 to 526 of the family's 1533-position model. The record is from RNAcentral.